GAUGAACGCUAGCGGCAGGCUUAAUACAUGCAAGUCGUGGGGCAGCAUGGGGUAGCAAUACUCUGAUGGCGACCGGCAAACGGGUGCGGAACACGUACGCAACCUUCCCAAAACUGGUGAAUAGCCCUCCGAAAGGAGGAUUAAUACACCGUAACAUAACGAAGUGGCAUCACUUUGUUAUUAUAGCUCCGGCGGUUUUGGAUGGGCGUGCGCCUGAUUAGGUAGUUGGCGGGGUAACGGCCCACCAAGCCUACGAUCAGUAACUGGUGUGAGAGCACGACCAGUCACACGGGCACUGAGACACGGGCCCGACUCCUACGGGAGGCAGCAGUAAGGAAUAUUGGUCAAUGGACGCAAGUCUGAACCAGCCAUGCCGCGUGAAGGAUGAAGGUCCUCUGGGAUUGUAAAACUUCUUUUAUCUGGGGACGAAAAAAAGGGCUUUCUAGCUCACUUGACGGUACCAGAGGAAUAAGCACCGGCUAACUCCGUGCCAGCAGCCGCGG
Molecule: ribosomal RNA, 503 nt
Filed under: uncultured bacterium
Lineage: Bacteria
Description: bacterial SSU rRNA
Rfam family: Bacterial small subunit ribosomal RNA
Source: RNAcentral